Molecule: ribosomal RNA, 848 nt
Filed under: uncultured bacterium
Lineage: Bacteria
Description: bacterial SSU rRNA
Rfam family: Bacterial small subunit ribosomal RNA
Source: RNAcentral
AGAACUAACGCUGGCGGCGUGCUGACACAUGCAAGUCGAACGAGAAGCCCGCAAGGGUUGUAAAGUGGCGGACGGGUGCAUAACACGUGGGUAAUCUACCCUUUGGUCUGAGAUAACCUGCCGAAAGGCGGGCUAAUACCGGAUAAGACCACGGCUCUGAGGAGCUGUGGGAAAAGGCCCGCAAGGGUCGCCGAUCGAUGAGCCCGCGGCCUAUCAGGUAGUUGGUGAGGUAAUGGCUCACCAAGCCUACGACGGGUAGCUGGUCUGAGAGGACGACCAGCCACACUGGAACUGAGACACGGUCCAGACUCCUACGGGAGGCAGCAGUGGGGAAUAUUGCGCAAUGGGCGAAAGCCUGACGCAGCAACGCCGCGUGGGUGAUGAAGGCCUUCGGGUUGUAAAGCCCUGUCGCCCGGGACGAAUAAGCUCAUGAAGAAUGAGCCCUGACGGUACCGGGAGAGGAAGCACCGGCUAACUCUGUGCCAGCAGCCGCGGUAAUACAGAGGGUGCUAGCGUUGUUCGGAAUUAUUGGGCGUAAAGGGCGCGUAGGCGGCCUCGCAUGUCGAAUGUGAAAGCCCACCUCUUAAAGGUGGAAUUGCAUUCGAAACUGCAAGGCUAGAGUGCCGGAGAGGGUGGUGGAAUUCCUGGUGUAGAGGUGAAAUUCGUAGAUAUCAGGAGGAACACCGGUGGCGAAGGCGGCCACCUGGACGGUAACUGACGCUGAGGCGCGAAAGCGUGGGGAGCAAACAGGAUUAGAUACCCUGGUAGUCCACGCUGUAAACGAUGGGUGCUAGGUGUUGUGGGUAUUGACCCCCGCAGUGCCGUCGCUAACGCAUUAAGCACCCCGC